RNAcentral lists this long non-coding RNA (13933 nucleotides) under Jatropha curcas. RNAcentral's name for it is "long non-coding RNA (JCUR_LNC003171)". Lineage: Eukaryota; Viridiplantae; Streptophyta; Magnoliopsida; Malpighiales; Euphorbiaceae. The record is from RNAcentral.
AUGCUAUUGGUGGGGUACUCAUGCAAGAAGGCCACCCUAUUGCUUAUGAAAGUCGAAAGCUGAAUGAUACCGAGCGACGGUACACUGUCCAAGAAAAAGAGAUGACAGCCAUCAUUCACUGCCUACGGACAUGGCGACACUACUUGCUUGGUAGUAAGUUCGUAGUCAAGACGGACAAUGUAGCCACUAGCUACUUCCAGACUCAAAAGAAGCUGAGUCCCAAGCAAGCCCGAUGGCAAGACUUCUUGGCAGAGUUUGAUUAUCAGCUCGAGUACAAGCCAGGGAAGGCUAAUGUUGUCGCUGACGCACUGAGUCGCAAGGCAGAAUUAGCCAAUAUCAGUGCUAGCACCCCACAGAGCGACCUGCUAGAGCGCAUCCGAGAAGGGAUGCAACACGAUCCUAUGGCCAAAAACUUGCUCAAACUUGCAAAGGAGGGCAAAACACGAAGAUUCUGGGAGCAAGAUGGAGUGUUACAUACUCAUGGUAACCGCAUCUUCGUACCAAAAUGGGGGAACCUUCGCAAGGAAAUUCUCAAGGAGUCCCACGACUCAAAAUGUGCUGGGCAUCCUGGUGAAGCACGAACAAUGGCCUUAGUAAAAGUUCACUACUAUUGGCCAAAGAUGCAUGAAGAUGUCAAGACAUAUGUUAAGACUUGCCUUGUUUGUCAACAAGACAAGGUAGAACAGCAACCUCCCGUGGGCUUACUUGAACCUCUUCCCAUUGCGGAGCGCCCUUGGGAGAGCGUCUCAAUGGAUUUCAUCACUGCACUACCAAAAUCCGAUGGAUACGGUAGCAUCAUGGUGGUUGUUGAUCGAUUCAGGCAAGUAUGCUACCUUCAUCCCAGCACCAGUUGAAUGCAAGGCUGAUGAUGCAGCCCGUAUGUUCUUCAAAAAUGUGGUGAAAUUGUGGGGACUUCCACGAAAUAUUGUAAGUGACCGAGACCCCUGCUUCACAGGCAAGUUUUGGCGAGAAUUGUUCAAGCUGAUGGGGACAGACUUGAACUUCUCAACCAGCUUCCAUCCCCAAAGUGAUGGGCAAACUGAGCGUGUCAAUGCAUUAUUGGAGCUGUAUCUUCGACAUUAUGUUAGUGCCCAUCAGCGAGAUUGGGCCAAGUUGCUUGAUAUUGCCCAAUUCUCGUAUAACCUCCAAAGGAGUGAAUCCACGGGCAAAAGUCCCUUCGAAAUCAUUAUGGGACAGCAGCCCCUCACUCCCAAUGCCAUCGCAGCUUCAACAAAUCCAGCAGCUUACAAGUUUGCGAGAGAAUGGCAUGAAGAAGCUGACGAAACUCGUGCCUGUCUCGACAAGGCUGCUCGACGGAUGAAGAAAUGGGCUGACAUCAAGCGGCGCCCAAGAGAGUAUGUCGAGGGUGACAAGGUGCUGAUCAAACUCCUCCCUAACCAAUUUAAGGCAAUGCGCAAGCUGCACAAAGGGUUAGCAAGGAGGUACGAGGGACCAUUCCCUAUCAUCAAACGAAUAGGGAAGGCCGCCUAUCGAGUUGAACUGCCGCCCAAGUUGAAGAUUCAUGAUGUCUUCCAUGUUAGCAUACUGAAACCUUAUCAUGCGGAUGAUGAGGACCCAAGUAGGGGCGAGUCUACUAGAGCGCCAACUGCUAUUGUUACCGAAUUUAACAAGGAGGUUGACAGCAUACUAAACUCACGAGUGGUGCGGCGACGUAGAGUGCCAGCCUAUCGCGAGUAUCUAGUCAAGUGGAAGAACUUGCCCGAGUUCGAAGCUAGCUGGGAGCAUGAGGAUACUCUUUGGCAAUUCAAAGACAAGAUAAAAGAAUUCGAGGCUCAAGACGCGACGAGGACGGCGCGAGGUUGAGGGGGGGAGGGUGUUACGCCCUGCACAAGAAGCUAGCAAGAAAGCAAAGGUAGCCUCGCAAUUUAUAGGCAAGACUUAGAAGGGUGCCAAUUGGGCUGCCACACUUGAGCCCGUUUUCUAGAAUUCUCCACAUUAUUCUACUCAAUAGAUAUUUCAUGUAAUGUCUACAUUAUUCUAGAAUUAUCCAUGUAAUCUAGACCGUUGAUUUGAAUAGAUUAAAUCCUAGCCGUCCAUUGAGGAGGUGGAAGUGGCUAUAAAUACCACCCCUCACUUCACUUGUAAAUCAUCCAAGCUCAUACAAGCAAUACAAAUGAGUGUUCUUAGUUCUUAUAAGCUCUCUUGUGUUCUCUUCUCUAUUUAACUCUCGUUUUUGCUCCAACACAACUAUAAGGCUUACUUAGCUCGUCCUAGCACCCAAAGGCGACUAAGUGCCGCACGGGUAGGCAAGCUAAAAACCUAUCUCCGUGACACUAGGCUUCUCUAGUAAGACCCAGAUUAUGCUAGAGUGGUUUCCUUCGAGCUUGCCUUGCCUCCACAGGUGCCAGAAUUCUCUAGAAUUCUCCAGAUGAUCCUCCAACCCUCAAGAUGGCCCUAGAUUAUAGUAGAACUCCCUAGAUCUCCCCAGAUCAUUCUAUCACUCUCUAGGUUUUGCUAGCACGUCCCAAAGGCUUCUAGGCUUCUUCCUUAGUUUUAUGCUUUCUAGAACUCUCUAGAAUCUUGGAGAAUAGCCUAGUAUCUUCCUUCCAUCGACUUAGUUGAUUAUAUAUACAUAUAAAGAGGCACUAUAAGAACUCUAAUUGCCUCCUUAAUCCGCAUGGUUUCAGGCCACUCACUAAAAACACUUCAAAUAUCAACUUGUAAAAUUAGAUCGAUUUGACAUUUAUUGGAUAGUUAAAAUUAUACUAUCCAUAUCUCAAAUCAAUAAUUUGCAUAUUAAAUCAAAACAUCCUAAAAAAAUGUUACUCCCUCUAUUCUCUUUGUAUGGAGAAAACUGAUUUUGCACAUGGAUUAAGAUGGCAGUUUAACUGAAUAUUUUUUCUACUUUAUGCCUCAUUUACCUAAACAAUAUUAAUUGGUCUGUUAGUUGAGAGAGAACUAACUUAUAUAAUGAGACUCCCAAUGAAGCAUCAAUUACAAGAUUUACAGUCAAAAAUGGAGGGAAGAGGUGAGUUAAUGCAUUAAACUCUUAAAAGUUCAAACUUUCCAAAAUUAUAACUUUCCGUUUGAAAUUUUUAAUUUCCAUUUACAUCAUUCUUGAGCUUUUCAAAUAUAUUCACACAAAUAUAAUGAAAAUAUAGAGCCUUAAUUUUAUUACUCUCAUUGUCUCCUUAACUUUUACAAUAUGCUUACAUAUAAAUUUGAAGUAGAUGAAAAUGUAAUUACAUUCAUAGACAUUUCAAAAAAAAAUGGCAGUGGAAAGAGGGCAACAAUAAUUGUUACAUCAUGAAUCCACCAUUUUUAUUUUAUCUCAAUGAUAUUUCAAUCUACUCGUCCGCACAUUCUCAAGAUAUGGCCACAACUUUCCAACUGCCAAAUUUGUACUUUUUAUUUGAUGAAGAACAAAGCGUUAUAGUUGUUCUUGAAAUGAGUCUAUCUCAAAAUGUUAUUGCAGACAACACAAAAAUAGGAAUACCUGAUCAUAUAAAAAAUUCUAUAAGCAACAUGCUUUUUUCUAAGUUGCAACAAGAUAACCUAAAUUCGUGUAGUUUGAAAAAGUUGCGGCCAUAUUUAGCAUAUCUGUGAAGUCAAUUUAAGUCUGUAUCGCUCACGUUUUAUUUAAGAACAUAAGCACAAAAUUUUCAUUAAUGCUUAGUUAAAUUACAAAAUUACAUUAAGUUAGUUGGAGUUAAUAAAAUUCGUGAACACAUUUACAAGGUGUAAUAUCAAUAUAAAAAGGUCUUUUAAAACUAAGUUGCAGCCUUCCAAUUGUGCAUUCAUAUUAUAGAUAAUUACACAAACUGUCACUUAUAUUUGUGCUUGCAUUCAUAAAGUCGAGCACACUAUUAAAAAUCCUCAGAAAAUAGUUAUUGAUAACAAGGCUCAUAUAAGUGCAUUUUAGACUUUUUAAUAAAUGCCAUUACUUUUUUUUACCUGUCACUUUCUCGUUCAGUGAACAAUUUUUACACGGAUAAGAUGGCUCAUAUAAGGGCAUUUUAGACUUUCCAUCUGACAUUUUUCAAAGUUUCUAUUCAAAGUAAAAUUCUCUAUAUAAAAGAAACACACAAAUUGGAAAGUUUCUUUAUAUAAAGAGAAGAGGGAAUAUUAUUAGUAUAAAAACGGUCGAAUAUAUAAAUUGCCCCGUGAACUUUUAUAAAAAAGUCUGGUAGCACCCUAUACUUAAGAUUUAAUCUUUUAGCUCCUUAAAUUUCAUUUUUUUUCAUCAAUUACAUACUUUAAACUUCACUCUCCUUGUCAAUUACACACCUUGUCAUGUUGGAAAACUAAUUGAAAAUGCACGUGCUAGAAAAGAGAGUAAAAUGUAUUUAAGUAUCCAACAUGGUAUUUUUUUUUUUUUAAGUUUUUCUUUUUAACUUUAAAUUCUCUCUCCCAUUUUUAAAUUUAUAUUUUUAAUGUUAAAUUAAUUAAAAUACUUUUUUUAAGCUUUACUAAUAUUCAUUUCUCUCUCUUCUUCAUCUUCUUCUACUUGAGAUGAACCUUGUUAGCAAUUUUUUUUUUUUCAUCGUACUAUAGAAUGAGGAGAUUAAAAUGGUUUUCUAAUUGUAUAACUUUUUCCAGUUAAAAACUUCAGCAAUUUAAAACAAAAAGUUACAGACCUAAACAAAAGAGAACAAAAUGAAGCUAAAGAUCAUAUGUGAAACGUGAAGAUGGGUAAAUUGUUUUUUCAACUCAACUUCAUAGCAAACCAAAUUUUCCAAAUUUUUUCUUUAAAAAAAAAAAAAAUUUCUUGGGUAUUGGAAAAGAACUGAAAGGGUUAUAAAUCUGCAGGUUUUGAUUGUGGGUUUCUGCUUUCUUUCUCACUGGGUUGAUUUCUGCAAAAGUUGCAACCAUCUAAUACUGUUCCUGCCAAAAAAAAAAAUAAAUAAAUAAAGAGAAUCAAGUUAAUCAUCUACAUGCUAUGAUCUUCUAUAUGGAUAAAUAAAAAUAUAAAAUCUGAAACAAGAAAAAUUAAGAAAAAAAAUAUGAUUUUAUAUUUUAUGGGAUAAUUUAAAAAAUGACUAAUAAAAUAAAUUAAAUAAAAGCAUGAUAGAUAGAGAGAAAAGCAAAUGAGGAUGAGAUGAAACCAGGGGAUGUUGAGCAGAGAACACCGUUUUUCUUUUUCUUUUUUUUUUUUUAAAAAAAAAUAAACACAUUAGAGCUAAUGUGUUAAAUAACUUGCCACCUAUAACUGAUUUUUCUAUCUUAAUGUGGAAUUCACGAAUUAAUUUUUUCUCUACAAAAUCAUUUUUAAAUUUUUAAAAUGGGCCACGGAGCUUUUUGAUAAAAAUUUAGGCGACAAUUAAUAUAUUUGGCCACAUUAAAACUUUAUAGUGUUAUCAGAAUCUUUAAUUUUAAGGGCACAGCGUCCUAUACAAAGUGUGGCCUUCUCUAAAAUUUUUACGAGAAAUAUACGAGUGAAUUUUAUAUAGAAAUGGAGUAAAUAGUUAAUCACUUUUUUUUUUUUUCUCCCAGACGAGUAAUUUUAAUGUCUUUAAUAAGGAAUCAUAAUUUAUAUUUAUAAAAAUUGAAAUUGAAAUUGAAGUACUUUUGAAUUUCAGAUAAAAACCAUUAGGUGAUCGGAUCUUCACUAUUUACAUGCCCAAUUCCUCCGGCAAUUGUAUUCCCAAGCCAUGACAGAUAAACCACCGCCACUGAAGCCACCGCUUUUUUCCCAAGACUGGGAGUCUCUAAUCGACGACUUUCAGCAAGGCGGUGCUCGCCUCCACAAAUGGACGGCGGCCACUCACUCCCUCCCUUCUCUCCUCGACCACGCCCUCUCAUCUCUCCUUAAAAAAGACUUCCCUCUCAAAAUCCCUCUCCUUAUCUUCCUCGAAGAAUUCUCCGAUACAUUUUUCACUGAUGAAUCCCAAUUGGACCGUCUCCUCGACGCUCUCCGUGCUGUUGUUCAAGCUCCUCUCGAUGGGAUCGCUAUUACUUUUCUCUUCAAAGAGCAGUUCAUGGUCUCUACCACUUCCAUUUUCAUUUCCAUCGACGCGCUCAAUAAAUUCCACGCGCGGUUCACUGAGGGUUUGGUUGAGCUGCUUCUCACUGUUAUUCAUCGUCCUAACCACGGCCUUGAUCGACAGACACGAGCUAUCGCUUGUGAGUGUCUACGCGAGAUAGAGAAGUGCUAUCCUUGUCUGCUUUCGGGUGUUGCUGGCCAUCUAUGGAGUUUGUGUCAAAGCGAGAGAACUCAUGCUUGUCAGUCUUACAUGUUGUUGUUUACUAUGGUUGUCUAUAAUAUUGUUAAUCGUAAGUUGAAUGUCUCUAUUCUGAAUACUUCGGUGCCUUUGGUUCCAUUUAAUUUGCCUCAAUGGAUGUUUAACAGUAAGGAGAUUGCGGGUGUGAAUGGUAAAGAGUUGAGAAGGGCUUUGGCGUUUUUGUUAGAUACGCGGCAGGUUUUGACCCCAUGUGGUAUGGUGGAGUUCUUGCAAAUGAUAAUGCCACUGGCUGUGGCUUUGGAACUGCAAGGUUCCAUGUUGAAAGUGCAGUUUUUUGGGUUGAUUUAUUCAUUUGAUCCAUUUUUGUGCCAUAUUGUUUUAGUCAUGUACUCCCAUUUUCUGGAUACGUUUGAUGGCCAAGAGGGAGAGAUCGUAAGGCGAUUAAUGUUGAUUUCUAAGGAAACACAACAUUAUUUGGUUUUCAGAUUGCUAGCUCUUCAUUGGUUGUUGGGUUUUAUAAGCAAACUGAUAUUGAGUGGAGAAGAUAAGAAAUAUAAAUCGGUUGCUGAUAUUUGUUUGAGAUUCUAUCCAGCUGUGUUUGAUUCACUUGCUUUGAAAGCAUUGAAGCUUGAUUUGCGUGCUUUUUGUUCCAUAUAUCUUGAUAGUUUGAAAAUAGAAGGUGGUUCUGGUGAGGAGGGCAGUGCUGCUAAUUCUGUUGUCAAGCUUUUUGCAGACGGUCUAGUUUCUGUUUCAGCUUUCAAAUGGUUACCUCCUUGGAGCACUGAAACUGCUGUUGCAUUCCGUGCCUUCCAUAAAUUUUUGAUAGGUUCUUCAUCUCAUUCUGACACUGAUUCUUCUACUACUAGAACCCUCAUGAACUCUGUAAUCUUUCGUACUCUACAGGUAUUUUUUUUCUGCUGACAAUUAAUUGGUCUGCAUUGCUUUAUUCUGCUCAUUUAUUUGCUUUUCACUAUGAACAUAGAUAUUGGGGGAUUAAGAAGCUUAUUAGAAAGCUAUUUCUUGUUUUGACUUGUCUUUCUUUUAUGUAACCGAAAGCUCUUUAGCAUUUGGACUUUGGUCUAAAGAAGUAUUGAGAUGCUAUUAGACAAAGUAUUGGUACAAUUUUUAUAGAUUAAAACAAUAAUUUAUAAGUUGGAUAUGUGUGUCACCUUCGAAAACACAGAUUAUAUGAGAUUCCACAACUGCAAAUAUGUCAGGUGAUAGUGUUGUUGUGAAUAACGAGUUAAAAUAAAAAGGUACCUUAUAAAUCAUCCAGGGAAUUGUCUUCCUCUUAACAGUUCGUACUAAUUUUGGCUUUGAGCAUUCCAAAGUCAAAAUAGUAAUAUUUUUGAAACAUACAGUUUUUGCCUGAGGCUAGUUUGGAAGGAGAAUUUGUUCUGAUUAUGUAAUGUUGAGGACAUUGAAAUCUUAAAAGUUGGGGAGGAAAAAGUGUCUACAUAUUUUGAUGUCCACACAUUUAUUCUUUUCUAUUUUUCCCUUGUCUCUUAAUUCACCUCGCUGUUUGUUAAGAAUUGUAAAGCUCUAGUGGAUCAUAAUGCUGCCUUUGAAGUACAGAACCGAUGAGUAUUUCUAUAUGACUUGAGGUUUUCCAUUCUGGAACAGUUUCAGUAAUAUUCUACCAUGAUUUGACAUAGCAAAAUAGGAUCUAAUUCUAAAUUAGGUCAUAUUUGACAGCAGAACAUUGAAAGAGAGGAUAAAAAGGCCAAAACUAAAAUAGGCUUGAACUUCUGGUUAUGCAACCAGGAAAGGCAAAUGUCUUGAACUGAUUUUUAUUAUUUCUCAAAUAUCUGAAAGUUACUUUAAAUCUAAGCAUUACAGCUUUAUUUAUAAGCAUACAAUCCCUUGAGAAUAAGAUCUUAACUUUAAAUCCUAAUAGAAAAAAACUUGACUAUUCGACACAAAAUUCAACUUAAUUGAAAUAUAAAAAUAACCCUAAUUUGAAAAUUUACACUACUUUGAAUAAUCAUGUGCCACAAUAACAUGAAUGGUAACUUUUGAACAUGCUGAAAUUCCUAGUUUAGCUCUUGCAUCGUGAAGUGUGCUAUUUAUUCAAUACUUGAUAAUGCCUGGUUGGGGUCAAUCCUCUACAUAUUUUCUGUAGCAAAAUGUUGGCAUUUUGUAGCAUUAGUUGUUUUGGUUCUGCUGUUGAAUUUUAAAUUUUAAAUUUUCAGUCACAAAAAGAAGUAAAAUACUUGGCAUUCUUUGAGCAGUUUGUUUUUUGUGACUAGAAGCAAUUUUGACUGAAGAAUUUGGUCAAAUGUGCAUUUUUUUUAAAAGAUAUGCUUUCAAGGCUGAAGGUUCCAUUAGGCAAUUACGGUUAUGAUUUGUAAUUUGUUCAUAAAUUGAGGUGAAAUUCUUUUAGUUUUUCAGAAAAGCUCUUACGAAGUUUAGUCCCAAAAUAGGUUGGAAUGGACCCAUUUAGCAAACUGUGAGACUAAUCGUCAGUUCGAUUGAGUAAUAACAUGUUUAUGUCCUAGCUCUUUCAUUUCACAUGUAAUACAUGUGUACUCCAUUAGGAAAACUCUUGCAAGCAAUAAUAAGAUUAUCAUUAAUAUUGGCCUCUUCCAGUUAUUUGUUUCUUACUAAUUGGAUGUCCCCUCAUGGAACGUAGAAUAUUGCAAAGUAAUCUUGGAUUUUUACCUAAAUUUUCAGGUUUUCUUUCAAAAUACAAUGUAAAGUUCAGAUCCUUGUUUUUCUUUCUUAGAGAGGCUUUUCUAUAAGGAUAUUUUUCACCUAUUCUCCAUAGGAUUCUGUAUGUGGCUAUUGCUGUUGUAUUAUUAUAAAAAUUACUUCCUAAUAUUUAUCCUAUAGUUUGUUUUAUUUAUUUAUUCAUUCAUAUAGAUCAUUUCAAUAUUGUACUAAGCUAGAGGGAGAGAGGUGUUGAUAUCACCCAUUAUAUAGCAUGAGAAAUAGAAUAUACCGUGCAAAAAGACAACUGAAAGUAUCGGCUUAGUCAGAGAGAACUGGCAGGCAGAAAAGAAUCCAAGCUUGAAAAGUGUGGGGGAAAGAGAAAGAGUUGGAAGUUUGUUUUGCUGCAUGUGCCUUCUAAAUAAAUAAUAUCAGACCAUCAAAACUAUUUUUUUGACUCAUGGAGUUCAUAUCAGGUCUUGGUGUUUUACGUCUAACAAACUGGGCCUGAAUCACAGGUGGAUCAACUAGAUUGAUUUAAAGACAUUCUUUCUUCUUGUGACCUAGUCCUUGCCAUUUUAAUUUAUGACAAUUUUGACAUAUAUCAAAUUUUAUUUAUUUUUCUAUUUCCCCAUCCCUAAUCUCUUUUAUUUUGUGGCUGGAUGUAUGCUAGUGUCUUUGUUUGAGUUCCACCUGUAAAUUACUUGGCUUCAAGAAACCUUUUCUUUUUUAUUUAUUUUUUGUCUUCUAUACUUUUUGAGUGGCUAGACAUGAAGCAAAUAAUGCUGAUGUUCCCAAUUGUACUUCUAUAUCAUUGAUGCUCCCAGUUUCACUUGUCCAGGGGAUGUUGGUGGGGAUGACAUUGGAUUUUGUAAGGCUGGUUCCUGUUGUCAUUUCUUUCAUUGAGCGUUUAUUAGGCUGCGAAAAGCAUCGGUGGUUGGGAGAACGCCUGCUUCAGAUGCUUGAUGAGUAUUUGCUUCUAAAAGUCAAAAUAGAUUAUAAAUUGGUUUCUUACUUCCCAAUAUUUGACAGAAUAGCCGAAAAUGAGGCAAUACCUCCUCAGAGAUUGGUAGACCUACUUACCAAGUUUAUGGUUUUCCUUGUUAAGAAACACGGGCCCAAUACAGGGCUGAAGUCAUGGUCGCAGGGAAGUAAAGUCCUUGGCAUUUGCCGAACUAUGCUGAUGCACCACCAUAGCUCUAGAUUGUUCCUUGGGUUAUCUCACCUUCUUGCAUUUACUUGUCUUUACUUCCCUGAUUUGGAGGUUCGAGACAAUGCCAGGUGACUUAAAGAAAUGCCCUUCAGCAUUUUUUUCCCUCUUUUAUGUGUGCAUUUAGUUCCUUUCCUUUUAUACUUGUUAGUAGCUGUUGCUUCUCACUUUCUUCACUAACUGUGGUAAUGCAUAGGAUCUACAUGCGGAUGCUAAUCUGUAUACCCGGAAUGAAGCUUAAAGGCAUACUAAACUUUGGGGAGCAAUUCCUUGGAAUUUCACCAUCUACAAAUUCAAGCUCUUUCUUCAAUGUUCUAUCUCCUCGACAUCAUCAGAAUUUCAAGAAAUCUAGGAGCAUCUCAUCCUGCAUUCAUCUGGAGCGUAUGUUGCCUUUGCUUGUUAAGCAAUCCUGGUCACUGUCCUUGUCGCCUUUGGAUAUUAGUUCCAGUAAACCUAGUUAUCUGGAAAGCAUUAUGGAUAGUGAACCACAGGUUGAUUUAAGGGAGCUAGAAGUUGGUACUAAUUUUCUAGCAACCUCAAGAAAUGAAAGAACUACUCCAUUACAGGAGCCAUUACGUGUAAUGGAUUCAAAGGUUUCACAGAUCUUAGGCGUAUUAAGGAGGCACUUCUCGUGUAUUCCUGAUUUUAGGCACAUGACAGGGCUCAAGGUUAGCAUAUCCUGCAGUUUGAAGUUUGAAUCUGACUCUUUCAAUCAGUUAUGCGGGAAUAGCUCUCCAACCAGUCGGUUAGAUGGAAUAGAUGCGCUUCCUGCUUUAUAUGCAACUGUGCUAAAAUUUUCAUCAUCAGCACCAUAUGGGUCCAUCCCACCAUAUCACAUACCUUUCCUUCUUGGUGAAGCCACCAAGAAAGAUCACAUCUCCAGCCCAGAAGUUUCACUAGACAUUGUUCCUGUGGAAAAUUAUUUUGAAGAAGAGGAAAACUAUAAAGCUCGCGUUACAGUUGAUCUAGAACCACGGGAACCUACUCCUGGUUUGGUUGAUGUUUUCAUUGAAACAAAUGUGGAAAAUGGCCAGAUAAUCCGUGGUCAGCUUCAAAGUAUCACAGUAGGUAUAGAAGACAUGUUUCACAAGGCUAUUGUCCCGUCUGACAUCUCAGAAGAUGCCAUGUCAGCAUAUUAUUCAGGAUUAUUUGAUGCUCUUUGGGAGGCAUGCGGUGCUUCCACCAACAUUGGACGUGAGACGUUCCCAUUAAAAGGAGGGAAAGGUGCUGCAGCAAUCAAUGGUACCCGAUCUGUCAAGCUUCUUGAGGUUCCUGCAGACUCUCUGAUUUGUGCCAUUGAGAAGUAUUUGACACCCUUUGUGGUUUGUGUGAUCGGAGAACAGCUUGUGAACAUGGUGAAGGAUAGGGGAAUCAUCAAAGACAUUGUAUGGAAAGCUGCUGCAUCAGAUUCUUUGGUCGAUAGCACUGCCUUAGUUACUACCGAGUUCAAUAAGGGUCCACUUCAUCUGACAUACUUCAAUGAUGAAUAUGAUAGAGAAACUCAGGUAAAUGGCUACAAAAGAAUCAUGGGUUGCUUUCUCGUGUUGAUAUUUCUUCCACCAAGGUUCCAUCUUCUUUUCCAAAUGGAAGUCUCUGAUCUAUCAACGUUGGUUCGAAUUAGGACUGAUCAUUGGCCAUGCUUAGCUUAUGUCGAUGGUUAUUUGGAGGCUUUAUUUUUGACAGAAAGGUGAUCUUACAGAGGAUGAAGUCUCAUCCAGAUGACCUCUUUUGCUGCUUCUGUAAGUUAAUUGCCAAUUGGUUCUUAUUCUUUCCCCAGAUUAUUUUAACAAAAAGGAGGGUAAUUUUUUUUAACACCCGACAAAUAAACUGUUGUGUAAAUGCCUCUGCAAGUGAGUUGCUUUUUGUUGUAUUCUUUCAAUGUAUCAAAAUUUUAAGAUACCCUUUUUGUUUUUUAUGGCCUUCCAUUUUCAUUUCUGUAGCAGAAACGUCCAAGUUUCUAGUUUGUGUAAAGCUAAUUCAUUGUAUCAGUUAUGUAUUUAUUGAUUAAUUGUUGUCAUUAUUAUUUUUAUGGUUAUUACUACUGAUUAAUUGUAUCCGUUAUGGUUAUUAUUGUUGUCAUUGUAUCAAAAGUGCUUCCAUGUAGUUGGAUAUUAGGUAAGAGUUGGGUUUGCAGAAUAUGGUGUUCAUAGGGCGGGCGGCUAAGAAAGAUAAGAGAUAGGGCUUGAAGAAAGCGGGUAAUAUUGAAUGUAAAUGAAUGGUCAAGCAGUCUUUCAUAUUCUAGCGACGGAGAGCUCUCAAUAAGGCAUAAUAUGAAUAAGCCAAAGAAGGGAAUGAGUCUCUUUUAAUGAAAAAGCAAGCCAGUUACAUUCCUUCUCUAAUUGCAGAAAAGGGCAUCUUGUUCCCGGCCAGUUUUCUUGAUCGGUAUCAGGUAUAGCUUGCUUUACUCACUCACUAGGGCUGGAUGUCGGGAUAAGAAUGAGAUUGUCAAACCUAGUUCCAUGUGGCAAGGUACGGUUUCUCACUCUAGCUAGGGAGAAGUAGUUGGAUGCAGUGACAGAGCAAUCGGGAUCCUAUCCUACUUUGCUUUGUCAUUGUCCACAUCCCGCAGCAAUGGACUAAGUUAUCGGCCAACUGGUCGGGUCCUGCCCUAGCUAUAGUCAGGGCUUUCUAGAGGCCUUUUAGACAAAAAGAAAGAUCGAUAAGACGGCUUUUCACAGUGAUGACCUUCAGUAGUGCUUCUACCCCGCUCUGGACAGUAAUAAUAGAAGGUAAGCUAGCAUUAGCAAGGCAAGUUAACUUGAAGCAAGAACUCUUAAGGGCAGGAGCAUAACUGCAACUAAAACUAUUACUAGCCUAUACUAUUUCCACAACUAAAAUCACCUCCUACACUUGAGAACUAAUACGCAUUGGAAACGAAGCAGACAGUCACCAUUACCGAAGACUAGCCUAGUGGUCAAUUUUUUUGAACUCUUUUAUUCUUUAUUUUUCUUGUCACCAAAUUUCAAGUUUACUCUCAAUUAUAUUUUUCUGAUCAAAAGUUAGUGAAAUUGUUAUUUUCGUAUUAAUUAAAAGUAUAAAAGACUAAAUCGUCCUUUGGAGUAAUUAAUUUGAUUUUUAACUUUAUGAAUUUCAUCAAUUACUAUUUGUCAAAUUAAUUACAAAAUCAAAUAUUUAGAGUUAAUGAGUUUAAUUAACUUCAUUAAGAUUCAAACAUUAAAUAGACAAUGCAGUACAAUAAAUCAAAUAUUUUGUUGGGUCUUAAGGGAUGAAAGGGGCACCAUGUUGAAUGCUUGUCAGUUAGUGGGGGUUUUGAUGCUUCAGUUGCUGAGGCACUAUCAUUUCGUGAGGCCUUACGUUGGGCCAAAAGAAAUGGUUACCGAAUUUGAAUCUGAUUCUCAGUUACUUGUCCAAACUAUAUACCGUGGUCGAAAUGAUCUUAUCCUAUUUUGGUUGUUUAAUUAUGGACUGUAAAGCUUUGUUAAAAGAAAUUCCUUUAGGUUCUGUCUCUUUUAUUCGUAAAUCAGCAAAUUGGAUUGCACAUCUUCUUGCAACUCAUGUCUACUCUUUGUCCGAUUUGAAGGAGUGGGGUCUUGUCCCUCCUUUCAUUAUGGAUUUUUUCAUUAAUGAUUUAAGUUCAUGAAAGUUGCAGUUUUAUUAUUUUUUUUUUUUUAAAGAAAAAGGACAAUCCAGUACAGUAAAUUGAAGGAUUAAAAGUCAGAUUUAACCUUUUAGAUUAAUUUAUCCCGUAAAUUUUUAUAGAGAUUAAAAGGUCGAAUUUGACUUUUUUUUUUUUAGCUAAUUUAGCCCCUAAAUCUAUUUUCAUUUUGUAAACAAUAAAUUGAUUCAAUUAUUGACUUUUAUUCCUUCUUAUUUUUGCAUUAGAAACGAAUGUUUUGAAAAUUGAAUUGGACCUUGGUCAUACCAGUUAAAUUCAAUCGAAUGUGAUUUAGUUUUCUACUGCAAAAUGGGC